This 173-nucleotide non-coding RNA is filed under the name uncultured Faecousia sp. RNAcentral's name for it is "malK-I RNA". It matches the Rfam family "malK-I RNA". Lineage: Bacteria; Bacillati; Bacillota; Clostridia; Eubacteriales; Oscillospiraceae. The record is from RNAcentral.
UAUGCCUACUCCACAUAAUAGGCAUAAUACCGCUAAAUUAAAGGAGGAUAAACCCGUCUGACGCACGGUACGGCAGUGUGGAGACCUGUCGUAAUGCUUCCGGAAUAGUACCGUUCGGAAGUGAGAACGCACGCGAAAAUGGUAGGUGCGUUUCGCGUCAAAACAGUAUGGCA